RNAcentral lists this long non-coding RNA (1436 nucleotides) under Felis catus (domestic cat). RNAcentral describes it as "lncRNA (ENSFCAG00000050617.1)". The record is from RNAcentral. Lineage: Eukaryota; Metazoa; Chordata; Mammalia; Carnivora; Felidae.
GCCUGAUUGAUGACUCAGGGGGACUGUGGCUGCCGCAGGCCUAUUUUAUGAUGUCAUUAGGCAGCUUCGGCCGCGGGAAGGAAUCCCUCCUGACAUCAUAAAGGACUUGAUAUUUCGCUAAUGUUAUCUUGGCGGCGUGUCGCCCUGACAUUUUCUCUUUGCAGCACUCCCCCCAGGACCGGGAGUUGUCUAACUACAGCCUGGAAAAAAUGCAAAACAGACAAAUGCACCCUCGGGGGACAGCGGGAGAAAGCUAAUAGACCAGUCCCCGAAUCCCCACCCACGGAGGUGGUUUAGGUGGGAAGCAUGAUGUGUUUGUCAAGGGGGACCCAAGGCUGCCUUCCUACUGAUUCUCUCCCGCCUUGGGCCGCCUCUGCUCAGCCGGCAGGGAGGAAGUCAGGUGCUGAUGUUCCAGAACAAGCUCUGCCACCCAGAGGCUAUGUGACUUGGGCUAAGCCCUUACCCUCCCGCACCUCAUUUGCCCCAUCCACGCCGCAGGGGUGUGGCCCAGAUAAUUUCAGACUGCGUGAGGCUCUGCUGAGGGCCCUGAAGCUGUUGGGGACGGCCAAAGUGCCACAGAGGUGACUCUACCACCAGACUCCCAGACUCCUGGAUCUGAGCAGACACUGAUGGCACUACUGAGAGCUAAGCACGUUCGAGAGGGGCCGGCAAAGAGGGACUGAACCCAAUCCCGGCUUCCAGAAGUUCCCACCAGGUAAGGUAGGCGCGCUGCAGCCACGCCCUGCUGCCUGCCCUUCCCUAGCACACCAAAGGCUUCCUACUUGCUCAGCUCUGCCAAUGCUGCUCCCUGAGCCUGAGUGCCUGUCCCAUGCCCUUCUAGUAGCUAACACUCCCUCAGCCUUCCAGUGCCUGGUGGGACUACCCACCUUAGGCGGAGUGCCCUCUUCCCAUGGAGAGACCCAGCUGAGUGUGAGUCUCCAAGAAGGACCACCUUGGCCUUGGAUGCUCUUGUAGCUGUGGUGCAUGGAUAUAAAAGAGAAUGCCAGGGAGGGCAGCCCUGACCUCUGGCUGGCCCACAAGGACCAUGCUGACUCUCAGGCUGGUUCAAGAAUCAGCAUUUGGGCACGUCCUCCUGAGCUGGCUGCCCCCAAGCAGGAGGCCCAUGGGACAGGUUUCCUCCCAAGGGCCCCCACUGCCUUGCUAAGGCAGUCAUUCUGAAGCAACGCCCCUCCAGAGCUGGCAGACAAUGACAACCCCUGAUUGCCCAAGCCGGUAGAUGGCUACGUGACACUCUCCAUUAUGAUGAGCUGUUCAUUCAUUCAGCAGAAAUGUAUUGAGUGCCCAUUACUUGCCAGGUAUUAUUUGGAUGGUGGAAACAAAGGCAAAAAUCCCUGUGCUCAAAGAGCUUACAUUCUCUUGGGAAGACAAGCAACAUAGAAAAUAAAUAAGUAAAAAGUAUAAUACGAUAUUGCUGA